GAGAGACGUAAGGUCGGCGGAGAAUGCGCGGGUCGAGUGCUGUAGUUCGAUUUUUGCGUGUGUGCGUUGCUUGCGGCCUUUGUGCCUUUUUAUUCUUUGCUUACCUUUAUGAUAUAAAGACCUUAUUUCUUACAAGGAGGAAAAGACCGCUGACUUCAGAAACAGCGGGAACCCCAGCUCGUCCCCGCAUUCCCAGUUUACAGCUGAGGAAAUUAAGCUUCAAGUUGCCCAAGUUUAUAGAAUGAGUCAAUGGCAGAGGUUGAACUCAGAUGACAAAAUUGGGGUCUGGACGUGUGCAAGGACUUUUCCAAAGUCAGCUGGAAAGGAGCUGCUUAGCUGAGAGGUUCUGGCUCCAGAGUCUCCUGUGAAGUUGCAGUCAAGAUGUCUGCUGGGACCCCAGUCAUUUGAAGCCCUGUCUGGGGCAGGAGAAUCUAGGUCCAAAAUGGCCGUUGCAGGAGUCCUUAUCCACACCAUGUGGGACCUCUUCAUAGAUGUUCGAGUGUCCUCAUGGCAUGGCCACUGGCUUUCCCCAAAGUAAGCAGUCCAAAAGAGGGUAAGACAGAGCCCACACUGUCUUUUAUGAAUUAGCCUUAGAAGUCUAACACGGUUACUUCCACCACAUUCAUUAGUCGUUAGGUACAGCUCACAUUCAUGGGGAGGAAAAUCAGGGCCUGUCUUUAGAUAGGAGAUGUAUCAAAGAAUUUGUGGACAUAUUUUAAAAUCACAGCACUACUCUUGAUGUACUAAGUCAGUGACUCCCCCAGGAGUCUCACAGAGAAUUGACUCCUUGCCCACCUAUACUACCUUUGUGGGUAGAGACUCCAGUAGUGUGCUGGUUAAUGUUCAACCAGUGGCUUUCUAGAAAACAAAAUGUAUGGAUACAUAUAUAUGUUCUAAGUUUUACUGAUAUGAAGAAUGUGUAGCACAGAAUUUAUAAAUAAUAAAAUAUACAGUAUUAUUUAUUGUAAAUUCCAUAAAACCUGUUGUUUUUCACAAAAGGUUUUAGUUUAUUUUUCCCAAAUGCUUGUAUUGGUAACAUUUUCUGUAUUACCUUUU
RNAcentral lists this long non-coding RNA (1056 nucleotides) under Homo sapiens (human). Its description in RNAcentral is "non-protein coding RBM26-AS1:26". Lineage: Eukaryota; Metazoa; Chordata; Mammalia; Primates; Hominidae. The record is from RNAcentral.